AUGUGUCAAGCAACAUGUUUGAAACUGAGGUUAAGGGGGAAAACAGUCUUAAAUUUACUAAUUAAAUUAAAAUUCCACUUAAGCUUCCAAUCCUUCCCUCUCCCCUUCCCCACUGUGCUCCCCCUUCCUCUCCUCCUCUUCUCAUCUCCUAUACCCUCCCAGUGUCUCUUCCCUUCCUUCUCCUCUUCCCUAUCUCCCACCUAUCCUCUUUUCAACUGCUUUGCUCCUUCUUCCCCUCUAUCCCUUCUCUUUUUCCUCUCCUCCUCACUUCUUCCUCUUCACUUCUCUCACUUAUCUCCUUUCUUCCUCAUUUCUCCCCUGGAUCCCUCUCAUCUGUCUUCCUUCAUUUCAUCUUCCCUUUCUCCUCUUUUUUCUCUCUUCAUCAUCUCUUCCUGCCCUCUUCCCUCCUUUCUCUCCUCCCUUCUAUUUCUAGUUCUUUCUUCCUCUUCUCCCUCUCCCUCCCAUCCCAUUCCCUCCCUACUUCUUACUCCUCUCCUCCUCCCUCCCCUCUCUUCUUGCUCUUCUCCUGCUUCCCUCCUUUCUCUCCCUUCUCCUCCCCCCUCUUUUUUCCUCCUUCCCCUCCCUCCUCCUCUCCCUUCUGCAGUUCCUCAUCUCUUUCCUUCCUCCCCCUGCCCUAUCCUCCUCCUCUCCAAUUCUUUUUUCCUUCCUGCUCUUCCCUCUAUUCUUUUCCCUUCCUCUCUCUUCCUUCUUUCUCUUAUUUCUUCCUUCCUCUCUUUCCGUCUUCUCUUCUACUUCUUCCCUUCUGCCCCUCCACCCACUUCCUUUCCCAUACUCUCUCUCGGCUGGAUCCUCACCCCCACCCUCAUCCCGCUCCCUGGGUUUUCUGGGCUUUUUUGGUUCCUCACUUGUUCCUCCUCGGGUGGGCAGCCUCUCGCGCCCGGUGAGGAGGCCCUACCGCACCACCCUCCCACCUUCACUCCCUUGGCUCGCUCCCUCCCUCCCUCCAUCCGCUCGCGGAAUCAGGAGCUGAUGCGCAAUCAGCAGACCUGCGGACGCGACUGA
Molecule: long non-coding RNA, 1023 nt
Filed under: Phascolarctos cinereus (koala)
Lineage: Eukaryota; Metazoa; Chordata; Mammalia; Diprotodontia; Phascolarctidae
Description: lncRNA (ENSPCIG00000034147.1)
Source: RNAcentral